AUGGGGGAUGAGGAGAGGAUGGGAAAGGAUACACUUAAAAAAAACAACUAUUGAGUAUUCAUUAAAAUAUGUUCUUUCCUUGCUACUGCAAUUUGUCCCCAAAGACCUUAAAAUUCCUUCUUUCUUGUCUGAUAGGGCCCUAUUUGGCCAAUUCUAGUAAAGGUUCCUUCUGCCUAAUAAAAAUAAAAAACAAAACAUUACAACCAGUGAGCAAAGGACCUCUACUUUAAAACAAACAAAUGUGCAACAUAAAAACGGACUCUGAAGUUUUGCCAUUGGUGGGCAUGACUGUUAAGACACAUUUCUGAAAAGAGCCACUCUGUUUACAGCUGGGAAAGGUAGGUCCCCUAAGCAGUUUCUGUGGGAAUAAACUACUUUCCUCCUGGCUUAAAGCAAAUAUCUUACCACAAGGAUUAGUUCACUGCCGCCAUGGUUUUCAAAGCAUAUCAUUAGCAGUGGAAACAUAUUGUACAGUCAGAGGAAUUAGUGGUGAGUUUUAUUCUCUAUUACCCAGGUGCUCUUCAAUGCAGACACUUGAAAAUAGAGAACAAUAAGCAACCCACGAAUCCCCAGUUAUUAUGGCUUAGUACAGCUGGCCCCACCACACAGUCAAUGCUCAUUUGUCUGAAGGAUAAGGAGGCCAAGGAACUUUAGACCUAUCUUGCAGGGAACUUGAGAUCCAGGAGAGUAGUUCUCACACAGUGAGUUGGAUUCCACACUGCCUUGUGCUGUCAUUUGCACAUUUGCAAAGACGGCAUAAAAUGCUACCAGAUCAGAAUACACCUCUACCCCGAUACAACGCGACCUGAUAGAACACAAAUUCGGAUAUAACACGGUAAAGCAGCGCUCCGGGAGGGCGGGGCUGUGCACUUCAGCGGAUCAAAGCAAGUUCGAUAUAAUGCGGUAAGAUAUUUUGGCUUCCGAGGACAGCGUUAUAUUGGGGUAGAGAUGUAGUUGCAUUUUACCCAACAUCACAUUCACUGUGCAGUGAUGCCAGCAAGUACACGGGGACCAGGACGGUGGAGAACAGGGCCAGGAGGGGCAGCUAGAAUCAGAAAAGGCACUGUAUAAAUGAGGGACAGACUCCCCAGUAAAGGACAGCUGCUUGGCUCUACAUUGUCAGUGAAAUGUGGCUCUAAAGCUGGCUUAACUAGCCAAGGGAAGAUCCUCCCAGUGCAAGGUGGAUACUCUAGUGGCAUAGAGCCAAUGCAGGGGCUCUCACACCACCCUUCCUCCCUGCUGCCAGUGUAGCAGGAGAAAGAUGGCCUGCCCUGGAUGCCCCUGCACUUGAACUCUAUUGCUCUUUAGCUGCAUUUUUAUCCCCUCGGGCCAUUGCAGCCUGGUAUAAAUUAGGGCACCUUUCAUGCUACUCCAAGUGCAAAGGGAUCGGCCCCUGCACAAAGAACACAAAGGUGAGAUUUAAGCCACCUUUUCACAAACACAUGCUGCCAGCCCUACAUGCACCCCCUGUACUUUGACUUGGGCCAACAGUCUGGCCCUAGACUGAAUCCCAUGUUGAUUCUCUUUGUGAUUUCUAGAGCCAGCAUGCUCUGCCUAUGGAUCUUAAGAUCAUUUUUCUAACUGCUGGUGCCAUGAACUCCUCCUAGUAUUGCAGAAUCCAGGGAUGGCUUUCUGCCUUUCAUACUCUUUCCAGAAAUAACGAUUCUAAAAUUGAAACUUAGCUGGCAAUUCAGCUUUGAUGGGAACAUCCAGCCUUGUGUGAUGCUAUCCUGCAGUUUCCUGAGGCAUCGAAAGUCCUGAACUAACUUCAGGGCUAACGCAACUUCACCACAUCACGACAAAAUAUCUGCAAUACAUCCUCCUUGAAGUACUGACAACAACUUUUGCCUCAGAGGGCACAAAUUUCCAAGGCUGCUAGUUCUAAUCCCACUUUCAGUCUUUCGCAGGGUGGGCUGGCAAGGGUGUCAUAAACAGAUAGUUAAGGGUUAAUGUCUCUUUUACCUAUAAAGGGUUAAGAAGCUCAGUAAACCUGGCUGACACCUGACCAGAGACCAAUAGGGGAACAAGAUACUUUCAAAUCUUGGUGGGGGAAGUCUUUUGUUUGUGCUCUUUGUUUUGGGGGUUGUUCGCUCUGGGACUAAGAGGGACUAGACGUCAAUCCAGGCUCUCCAAAUCUUUCUGAAUCAGUCUCUCAUGUUUCAAACUUGCUCUUUCAAACAAACCUGCCUGAGAACCUUAACUGGUCUGGAAAGCAAAGGCCAUUUUCCUCUCAUUGCUGGGCUGCUGAUGGAUCACUCAGAGCAAGCUGCACUGAAGUAUCAACAAGGCAUCUAUUGAAAGGAAGAGAGCAGGAGAGAUACAAAGCUGCUGCAUGUCCAAACAGUGUUAACAUGGGAGGUGUAAUUCCAAACUGGACCACUGGGCAGCUACUCAUUGUGGCUCCCCCUUGGCAGACCAACACCACUCUGCUAUGUAGGAUGCAGGAAGAAAACACAAGCAGUGAGGCAGGGGCUGCUGAGAAGAUGACUGGGUAGCUCACUGUGACUGGAGAACAUUUCACCUUGAUUGGAUGAACUACUGGACAGCCAAAAAAACCCAACUGAAAAGGUGUUCAGGCAAGUCAAGGUUGAGAAGAGUACCGUAGAGACAACAGACCUGCUCAGGGAGGCUAAGGAGACAGUAAUUUCUCUUGGUACAAGCCACUGUUUCAGUUUUAUUGAAAGGAAAUUUGUUGCAGCUUCUCAGGCAAGUGUUUCUGUGCUAGACUAUUGCAGCCCUUCCUUCUGUCCACAGUGCAACAGCUGCUGUGUGCAGAUCAAAGAUAAAAUGGGUGAGGUAGGACUGUAUCAUUCAUGCCAUCCCUUUACCCUACAAAAUUGACUAUACUAGGAAAUUGUUCUUAAAUACCAAUUUUAAAAUGGUUUCCAGUAAUCUGGCAUUGCUCCCUGAAUAGAUGGGGCAUAAUUUGAUUCAAACAGCUUUUGGAAACCAUUCUCGAGACUAGCCAGUUUUAAAAAAGUGAUUUUCAGUCUUUUGUAGUGUAACUGGGAUCUUAAGUCUUAGGCCCAUCAACCAGCAGAGGCUAUAUUUACUCUCACAAAAACAUAGCUAUUGCCAUUGUGUUUCCUAAAAUGGAUGGAUAGAAUACAAACACAGAUCAACCAAAAAGAAAACCUUUUCAAAAUAAAAGUGUGCUAAAACCUAAAGUACACAGGAAUGAACAAUACUCCCUUGUGUCUUCUAUCCUUUCCACUUGUAUCUAGUACCAGAUACUUCAGAGCAAAGCAUAAACCUCUUUAUUAUUACUAUAGCAUUUAUACUGCAGUAAAUCUAGACAUCUCAACCAGUUUAGGAGUCCCGUUGCGCUAUGCCUGCACAGUGCUUAAACUGAGUCCCUGUCCCAGAGAGCUUUCUAUACCAAGUGUUUCUUAGUCAGAAUUGGAUUCCUUUUAGAAAAGGGGAAUUUGAAAAUUAGAAUCCUGUUUCCUUUCUGAGUGAGGCUGUUGAGAAAGCGUCCUGUCCUGUCGGCCCUCUCCCUAUCCCAAAGCACAUUUGGCUCCCUCUCUCUGGUUUUCUUGUAUAUGUUUCAGUCCCAAUGACUGACACCUCCAUAUUUCUAUAAUCAAACUUUCCCCACAGUUAACACUAUUUGGCUCUCGCUCUUGUUAUCCUCAGCACAGAAGCCAGUCUCCAUAGUCGACUGGAGUUCUGAAUUCCCGCUCCUGCCCCUAAAGGCAGGUCUCUCCAGGGCAGCAUUGAGGCAGACUGCUGUCGGGAAAGCAGACACGGUCAUUGACGGUGCUUUGCUUUCUUUUUCAUAAACAGAGCACACAAAUCUUCCAGGCUGUCAAACCAACACCAUUCACAAACACUAAACUAACUUUACAAAAACAUUAAUGAUAGUCACUCAGAGGCCCUUAGGACAUAAGGGGGCAAAGGAGAAAAAGUCAGAGGUCUACCAGAGAACUACACUAUUUGCUCAAUCACUUUAAUCUAACUACCUUGGUGUCAGGCUGUGGUCAUGUCUCAGGGACAGUAUCAAACUGAAUGUCUUCUCAUGCAAAAAAACCAACAGAACAUUGAGAUAU
This is a long non-coding RNA of Gopherus flavomarginatus (Mexican gopher tortoise), 4049 nucleotides long. RefSeq lists it as uncharacterized. NCBI's taxonomy places the organism in Eukaryota, Metazoa, Chordata, Testudines, Testudinidae. The record is from RefSeq and is a predicted model, not a curated record. The transcript has 3 exons.